Molecule: ribosomal RNA, 465 nt
Filed under: uncultured Klebsiella sp.
Lineage: Bacteria; Pseudomonadati; Pseudomonadota; Gammaproteobacteria; Enterobacterales; Enterobacteriaceae
Description: bacterial SSU rRNA
Rfam family: Bacterial small subunit ribosomal RNA
Source: RNAcentral
CCUACGGGGGGCUGCAGUGGGGAAUAUUGCACAAUGGGCGCAAGCCUGAUGCAGCCAUGCCGCGUGUGUGAAGAAGGCCUUCGGGUUGUAAAGCACUUUCAGCGGGGAGGAAGGCGGUGAGGUUAAUAACCUCAUCGAUUGACGUUACCCGCAGAAGAAGCACCGGCUAACUCCGUGCCAGCAGCCGCGGUAAUACGGAGGGUGCAAGCGUUAAUCGGAAUUACUGGGCGUAAAGCGCACGCAGGCGGUCUGUCAAGUCGGAUGUGAAAUCCCCGGGCUCAACCUGGGAACUGCAUUCGAAACUGGCAGGCUAGAGUCUUGUAGAGGGGGGUAGAAUUCCAGGUGUAGCGGUGAAAUGCGUAGAGAUCUGGAGGAAUACCGGUGGCGAAGGCGGCCCCCUGGACAAAGACUGACGCUCAGGUGCGAAAGCGUGGGGGGCGAACAGGAUUAGAUACCCCUGUAGUC